This 279-nucleotide ribosomal RNA is filed under the name uncultured bacterium. RNAcentral describes it as "partial 16S ribosomal RNA". It matches the Rfam family "Bacterial small subunit ribosomal RNA", at positions 506 to 784 of the family's 1533-position model. The record is from RNAcentral.
UGCCAGCCGCCGCGGUAAGACGAACCGUCCGAACGUUAUUCGGUAUCACUGGGCUUAAAGAGUUCGUAGGCGGUCGUGUAGGUCAGGUGUGAAAUCCCACAGCUCAACUGUGGAACUGCGCUUGAAACCCCACGACUUGAGGGAGAUAGAGGUGAGCGGAACAGAUGGUGGAGCGGUGAAAUGCGUUGAUAUCAUCUGGAACACCGGUGGCGAAAGCGGCUCACUGGAUCUCUUCUGACGCUGAGGAACGAAAGCUAGGGUAGCGAACGGGAUUAGAUA